GAUGAACGCUGGCGGCGUGCCUAAUACAUGCAAGUCGAGCGAACGGACGAGAAGCUUGCUUCUCUGAUGUUAGCGGCGGACGGGUGAGUAACACAUGGAUAACCUACCUAUAAGACUGGGAUAACUUCGGGAAACCGUAGCUAAUACCGGAUAAUAUUUUGAACCGCAUGGUUCAAAAGUGAAAGACGGUCUUGCUGUCACUUAUAGAUGGAUCCGCGCUGCAUUAGCUAGUUGGUAAGGUAACGGCUUACCAAGGCAACGAUGCAUAGCCGACCUGAGAGGGUGAUAGGCCACCCUGGAACUGAGACACGGUCCAGACUCCUACGGGAGGCAGCAGUAGGGAAUCUUCCGCAAUGGGCGAAAGCAUGACGGAGCAACGCCGCGUGAGUGAUGAAGGUCUUCGGAUCGUAAAACUCUGUUAUUAGGGAAGAACAUAUGUGUAAGUAACUGUGCACAUCUUGACGGUACCUAAUCAGAAAGCCACGGCUAACUACGUG
This 497-nucleotide ribosomal RNA is filed under the name uncultured bacterium. Its description in RNAcentral is "partial 16S ribosomal RNA". It matches the Rfam family "Bacterial small subunit ribosomal RNA", at positions 28 to 507 of the family's 1533-position model. The record is from RNAcentral.